RNAcentral lists this ribosomal RNA (406 nucleotides) under uncultured bacterium. RNAcentral describes it as "partial 16S ribosomal RNA". It matches the Rfam family "Bacterial small subunit ribosomal RNA", at positions 30 to 526 of the family's 1533-position model. The record is from RNAcentral.
AUUGAACGCUGGCGGCAGGCCUAACACAUGCAAGUCGAACGCGUGGCGGAUGGGUGAGUAAUGUCUGGGAAACUGCCUGAUGGAGGGGGAUAACUACUUGAAACGGUAGCUAAUACCGCAUACCAUCAGAUGUGCCCGGAUGGGAUUAGCUUGUUGGAGGGGUAACGGUUCACCAAGGCCACGAUCCCUUGCUGGGCUGAGAGGAUGACCAGCCACACUGGAACUGAGACACGGUCCAGACUCCUACGUGAGGCAGCAGUGGGGAAUAUUACACAAUGGGCGCAAGCCUGAUGCAGCCAUGCCGCGUGUAUGAACAAGGCCUUCGGGUUGUAAAGUACUUUCAGCGGGGAGGCAUUACCCGCAGAAGAAGCACCGGCUAACUCCGUGCCAGCAGCCGCGGUAAUUC